This 581-nucleotide ribosomal RNA is filed under the name Indochinamon malipoense. RNAcentral's name for it is "partial large subunit ribosomal RNA". It matches the Rfam family "Bacterial large subunit ribosomal RNA", at positions 1807 to 2650 of the family's 2925-position model. The record is from RNAcentral. Lineage: Eukaryota; Metazoa; Arthropoda; Malacostraca; Decapoda; Potamidae.
UCAAAAACAUGUUUGUUUGUAGUUAUAAGGAAUUUAGCCUGCCCCCUGAUGAGCGAGUAUUAAAGGGCCGCAGUAUUCUAACUGUGCAAAGGUAGCAUAAUCAUUAGGUUUUUAAUUGGAAUCUUGUAUGAAUGGCUGAACAAAAGAAAAUCUCUCUUUAUAUUAAUUUUGAAUUUAACUUUUAAGUGAAAAGGCUUAAAUAUCCCAGGGGGACGAUAAGACCCUAUAAAACUUUACAUUAUAAUUGAAAUUUAGUUUAAUUUUGUAAUAAAAGUUUAAUUAGGUUAUUUGUUAUGUUGGGGAGACAGAGGUAAAAUUUUUUAUUAACUGCUUUAUGAUUUCAACAGUUAUUACUGUGUAUAAUAGAUCCUUUCUAAAGAUUAAUAAGUUAAGUUACUUUAGGGAUAACAGCGUAAUUUCUUUUAAGAGUUCUUAUCGAAAAAGAAGAUUGCGACCUCGAUGUUGAAUUAAAAUAUCUAUAUAAUGAAGAAGUUAUAUAAGAAGGUCUGUUCGACCUUUAAAAUUUUACAUGAUUUGAGUUCAAACCGGCGUGAGCCAGGUUGAUUCCUAAUCUCUUAAUA